Molecule: long non-coding RNA, 460 nt
Filed under: Anas platyrhynchos platyrhynchos (common mallard)
Lineage: Eukaryota; Metazoa; Chordata; Aves; Anseriformes; Anatidae
Description: lncRNA (ENSAPLG00000021662.1)
Source: RNAcentral
GUGGCCGGGGCGGGGAGGCGAGGAGGAAGGUGAGCGCGCCGCGGGGGGGGGGGAGGAGAGGAAAAGACGGGGGAAUGCGCGUGCCCGCCCCCGCUGCCAGCGGCGCGCGCGCGCGCACGGCCGUUGGCCGGCCGUUAACGCCUCGUUGGGCGGGAGCGGGCUGAGGGGAGCCCCGUGGGUCUGAGGCGGGGAGGGGGCUGCGGUCCUGCUGGGCGCCCCUCUGCCCUCCUCUCCUCUCCGCUGGUGUUUAAUAAAGUGUCGCUGCUCCCCCCCCCCAGCUCCGUCCCGGCCGCCGGUGGCUGCGCUGCCUGCCGUGUUGGCGCUUUGCGAACUUGGAAAGAUGUCUGCAUUCUGCACAGUGAAAGCUGAGUCUGCAGAGUGUUUAAAGGAAAAUACUUGCAGACAACAAGUAAGAUACUGCAAGCUGAAAGAAUCCAUUGGGUUUUUGAAACAAGUAUAA